UUGAACGCUGGCGGUAUGCUUAACACAUGCAAGUCGAACGGAAACGAUACUAGCUUGCUAGUAGGCGUCGAGUGGCGGACGGGUGAGUAACGCGUAGGAAUCUGCCUGAUAGUGGGGGAUAGCCCGAAGAAAUUCGGAUUAAUACCGCAUAAUCUAUUCGUAGUAAAGUGGGGGACUUUCGAGCCUCACGCUAUCAGAUGAGCCUGCGUAAGAUUAGCUAGUUGGUAGGGUAAAAGCCUACCAAGGCAACGAUCUUUAGCUGGUCUGAGAGGAUGAUCAGCCACAUCGGGACUGAGACACGGCCCGAACUCCUACGGGAGGCAGCAGUGGGGAAUAUUGGACAAUGGGGGCAACCCUGAUCCAGCAAUACCGCGUGUGUGAAGAAGGCCUGAGGGUUGUAAAGCACUUUCAAUUGUGAAGAAAAGUUAACGGUUAAUAACCGUUAGCCUUGACGUUAACUUUAGAAGAAGCACCGGCUAACUCCGUGCCAGCAGCCGCGGUAAUACGGAGGGUGCAAGCGUUAAUCGGAAUUACUGGGCGUAAAGCGUACGUAGGCGGUUUAUUAAGUCAGAUGUGAAAGCCCCGGGCUUAACCUGGGAACUGCAUUUGAAACUGGUCAACUAGAGUAUGGUAGAGGAAAGUGGAAUUUCUGGUGUAGCGGGUGAAAUGCGUAGAUAUCAGAAAGGAACAUCAAUGGCGAAGGCAGCUUUCUGGACCAAUACUGACGCUGAGGUACGAAAGCGUGGGUAGCAAACAGGAUUAGAUACCCUGGUAGUCCACGCCGUAAACGAUGAUAACUAGCCGUUGGGGGGAUUUACCCUUUAGUGGCGAAGCUAACGCGUUAAGUUAUCCGCCUGGGGAGUACGGCCGCAAGGUUAAAACUCAAAGGAAUUGACGGGGACCCGCACAAGCGGUGGAGCAUGUGGUUUAAUUCGAUGCAACGCGAAGAACCUUACCUGGUCUUGACAUCCUGCGAACUUUCUAGAAAUAGAUUGGUGCCUUCGGGAACGCAGUGACAGGUGCUGCAUGGCUGUCGUCAGCUCGUGUCGUGAGAUGUUGGGUUAAGUCCCGUAACGAGCGCAACCCCUAUCCUUAUUUGCCAGCACGUCAUGGUGGGAACUAUAAGGAGACUGCCGGUGAUAAACCGGAGGAAGGCGGGGACGACGUCAAGUCAUCAUGGCCCUUACGACCAGGGCUACACACGUGCUACAAUGGGAAGGACAAAGAGCCGCGAAGCCGCGAGGUGUAGCUAAUCUCAGAAACCUUUUCGUAGUCCGGAUUGGAGUCUGCAACUCGACUCCAUGAAGUCGGAAUCGCUAGUAAUCGUAGAUCAGAAUGCUACGGUGAAUACGUUCCCGGGUCUUGUACACACCGCCC
RNAcentral lists this ribosomal RNA (1377 nucleotides) under uncultured bacterium. Its description in RNAcentral is "bacterial SSU rRNA". It matches the Rfam family "Bacterial small subunit ribosomal RNA", at positions 29 to 1395 of the family's 1533-position model. The record is from RNAcentral.